Molecule: long non-coding RNA, 2187 nt
Filed under: Oncorhynchus mykiss (rainbow trout)
Lineage: Eukaryota; Metazoa; Chordata; Actinopteri; Salmoniformes; Salmonidae
Description: lncRNA (ENSOMYG00000057608.1)
Source: RNAcentral
UAAUGUACAGACAACUCACCUGUUAUGGCUUAGAAAUGGAGUACAUCUCCGUAUUGGAAAAGACACCUCUUCUGUAACCACAACCCCAUUGAAACCAAAUGGGUCAUCCUCACACUGCAAUGAAACGUAUAAAACAUAACCAUCUUUAGUUCAAUAUUUAGUGUCCUGACAUUACGGUCAUUCAAAGAAAGUAUUUUACAAGCUUCUUUCAGUAAGUAUAUGAUACAUCAAAGUAAAACAAACAUACCAGUGCAUCUCGUGAGUAAUGGUAGGUGUCAGUUUCAAUAACUACUACAUAUGAAUAGGCCACUGCAUUGUCCACACACUGGGUAGGGUCCUGUAAUAUGCCACAAUGUAUCCAUAAUUAUAUAUAGACAAUACCUGGUGUUUUUUAAAAGAAGGAUCGAAGGAGUAAAUAGCUAUGCUUCCAAUCUAACGAAAAGGUAGUAAUACAACUGAGCAAUAAUAUCAUAGUAUCAUUCGGGAGUCUGAAGCGGUUGGUUUCACAGCAUAUUGCGCCACUCACAGUGUAAUUGAACUGUUAUAUUAAAGUCACACUGGGAAAAUUAAGAUAAUUCACGAUCGGCACCACUUCCUACUUUUGCUGUUGUUGUCCUCAAGACAUUAUUCUAAGAACAAAUAUGCCUAGUAUAUUUGAGUCAUUAUUGAUUGUAAUGACUAAACUGAUGUUUGCAGUGCACUAUAGUGAACAUAGUCAUGUUAUUAUCAAGCUGCUUAUUAGUGGUUUAUUCAACUAUGUAUUGCCGCCAUUACGGUAGAUUUAGGUUUGAGAGGAUGAGCUCUAGGGGCACCAUAAUGUACACCUGUGUUCCAAUAAUGUACAAUCUAGUAGGUUAACCUGUUCUGCCUCAUUUUUCAUUCAUUUAGUGACCAAAAUAAGCAUAAUACUUCAAAAUCAAAACUUUACCAUUUCUUCAAGAACACUCUCGUCCGCCAUUCUUUGUUGGCGGAUGCAAAAUGGUGUCACUAUGAAAGUGUCACUGUGACCUACGUCAUCAAUGCCACUACUGUAGUCUGAACUCCAUACUAAUUUGUCAUUUUUUUCAAAAGCUGAAAAGUGUAUAUUUAUAAAUAAAAUGUACCUGUUUUGAAUUUGGCCAUAAGAUAAGUGUUCGGUUGAAUUAAUUAUUCAAGAAAUGCUGAGGCGACACUUGGUUUGGCUAAGGGUGAAGGUUAGGGUUAGGGCUAGGGUUAGUGGAUAGUUAGUAGAAAUGUUGUUGACAGUUAUUGAACAUCUACCGAACGUCUACAAAUCGUCUACUUGAGACUAUCCAAAUAAAGUGUCACCAAUGCUGAAAAUGAAGAUGGUAUGUAACCACAGUUUUCUUACCGUAGAAUAGUGCCCUUGAAUAAAACUCCACUAGUUAUUGCAUAGAUGACCUUUCAGUUCACACGGACUCAGUCAAACAUUAUUAUUAUCUAUCCAAAUGUUGUUCAGGUUCCUUUUCUCCGGUUAAACAAAGCUUGAGAUCAUGAGCCUGUUGAUCGAAAGAUUUUCAAGACUUCCUUUUCAUACUCUGAAUUCCAAGGAGUGUCCAGGAACAGAUACUUAAAGAAGAGGAACAGAUACUUAUCAUGGACGUGGUUACAUAAUUAGAUUGCUCACUGCAGAAUGUAUGGGCUUGUUUAUACAGUAACUCUUACAUAUGGUCAGAAUGGGGCGGCAGGGUAGCCUAGUGGUUAGACUGUAGGACAUUCAAAACCCCCGAGCUGACAAGGUACAAAUCUGUCGUUCUGCCCCUGAACAGGUAGUUAACCCACUGUUCCUAGGCCGUCAUUGAAAAUAAGAAUGUGUUCUUAACUGACUUGCCUAGUUAAAUAAAGGUAAAAUAAAAAAUAAUAAAAAAGAAGGCUGGCUUAAAUGUAUAAUUUAGACUGAUUGAGACCAUUGUCCACAAGCUACACUGCCUUGUCAAACUAUGGCAUUCCGCUUGAUCAUAAUGGCAAAGCAGUGGGAAACUUGGUGACUUUUAGUUUUCGUGAACAAAGAAUGUAAAUACUAGGAAUGGGAGACCACUGAGCCUGGUUGUCCCUGACGUUCUUUCUGGCCAUUCUCUUUCUUACCACAAGGUGAUGAUACUGCACCAGUCAUUUUCUGAUGGUGCACAAGUUAUCUCACCAGUCAGAGAGCGGUGAACUACAACUCUCUCUCUCUCUCUCUCUCGC